CUGGUGUACAUCAAUGAUACCUGUGUGCUUGGCUUUUCUCACAAAGAGGUAGUGGAAAUGUUGAAAGCCAUUCCGGUGGGUCACACUGUGGACGUUGUUGUCCGAAGAGGCUACCCCAUGCUCUAUAACUCUGAUGGCUGUCCGAAGAUGCCUAAUCCUAAUCUAACGGCAUCCCUAGACCAGUCACUACAUCUACCUCCACCAACCACCACCCAACCCCAGGCCCAGGCUCCUCUCCCAUACGCUCAGCUACACCUCAACCACAACGGGCCCAUGUGGUCUGAUUUUGAGAGGGGAUCCUCAAGGAAUCUCAGAGGUCGGGCAUCGAGGUUCAGUUUGGAUGCUAAUGGUAAUUCAUCUCCAUUUGCUUCUCCUUCAAGACAGCCAUCAUCAUACCAGUACUCUAAUGGGUAUGGGAGUGGGUUCCUGAGACCACCACGCUCUGCCCGAAGUAUCAGGAGGUUACAGAGUACAGAACUGGCCAGCCAGAGUGACAGCGAGGUGGUGUCUGCGAUUGGAUCCCAUAGGGCCUCGUUUAUCCGUAACCACAACAACAACUCUCUGUCCACUCCACCACCUCUCCGCCUGCACUCCUUCAAAUCUUCUGAGAGUGACCUUUCCUCGAGUACUCCACCACCCAUAUCUCGAUUGCCCCUGCCCCACACUGAUGUAAGUCCAGGCCCUAUCUCGUUCUCUCCUGGAGGAGGAAGGCGCUACUCUCAUCUCCGUAAACCCCAGCAUUCACUGCUAACCCCACCUAGCAACGCCCAUUCUGACGGGCCUUACUUCACCUUCAACGGCACAGCCAGUGCCAGCAGCGGCAGCCCGAACAGCAGCAUUCCUUCACCUGGAGCCAUGAGCGCUGUGAUCGGGAGUGGAGUUGGAGGAAUGGCGGGUAAUGGGGAAUUAGUCCCCGUUGCUUUGGCUAAAUGUGAGAGGGGCAGCAAUAUGGGGUUCAGUGUCACGGCAGGAGGUCAUGGAGGAAGACAGACCCUCGUGAAGAAAGUCUGGGACCACAGACAGUGUAUCGGAC
Molecule: long non-coding RNA, 1033 nt
Filed under: Sinocyclocheilus anshuiensis
Lineage: Eukaryota; Metazoa; Chordata; Actinopteri; Cypriniformes; Cyprinidae
Description: lncRNA (ENSSANG00000006370.1)
Source: RNAcentral